AAGGAGUCUAACAUCUAUGCGAGUGUUCGGGUGUCAAACCCCUACGCGUAAUGAAAGUGAGCGGAGGUGGGAACCGCAAGGUGCACCAUCGACCGAUCCUGAUGUCUUCGGAUGGAUUUGAGUAAGAGCAUAGCUGUUGGGACCCGAAAGAUGGUGAACUAUGCCUGAAUAGGGUGAAGCCAGAGGAAACUCUGGUGGAGGCUCGCAGCGGUUCUGACGUGCAAAUCGAUCGUCAAAUUUGGGUAUAGGGGCGAAAGACUAAUCGAACCAUCUAGUAGUUGGUUCCUGC
Molecule: unclassified non-coding RNA, 289 nt
Filed under: uncultured fungus
Lineage: Eukaryota; Fungi
Description: partial contains 5.8S rRNA, ITS2 and 28S rRNA
Rfam family: Eukaryotic large subunit ribosomal RNA
Source: RNAcentral